GGAUAACUCCCGGGAAACCGGUGCUAAUACCGAAUAUUUUGCGGCCUCUCCUGAGGCUGCACGGAAAGACGGUUUCGGCUGUCACUGCAGGAUGGGCCCGCGGCGCAUUAACUAGGUGGUGGGGUAAUGGCCCACCAAGGCGACGAUGCGUACCCGACCUGAUAGGGUGAUCGGCCACACUGGGACUGAUACACGGCCCAGACUCCUACGGGAGGCAGCAUUAGGGAAUCUUCCGCAAUGGACGAAAGUCUGACAGAGCAACGCCGCGUGAGUGACAAAGGUUUUCGGAUCGUAAAACUCUGUUGUGAGGGAAGAACAAGUACCAAGUAACUACUGGUACCUUGACGGUACCUCACCAAAAAGCCACGGCUAACUACGUGCCAGCAGCCGCGGUAAUACGUAGGUGGCAAGCGUUGUCCGGAAUUAUUGGGCGUAAAGCGCGCGCAGGCGGUUCCCUUAAAUCUGAUGUGAAAGCCCACGGCUCAACCGUGGAGGGUCAUUGGAAACUGGGGGACUUGAGUGCAGAAAAGGAAAGUGGAUUUCCAUGUGUAGCGGUGAAAUGCGUAGAGAUGUGGAGGAACACCAGUGGCGAAGGCGACUUUCUGGUCUGUAACUGACGCUGAGGCGCGAAAGCGUGGGGAGCAAACAGGGAUUAGAUACCCUGGUAGUCCACGCCGUAAACGAUGAGUGCUAAGUGUUAGGGGGUUUCCGCCCCUUAGUGCUGCAGCUAACGCAUUAAGCACUCCGCCUGGGGAGUACGGCCGCAAGGCUGAAACUCAAWGGAAUUGACGGGGGCCCGCACAAGCGGUUGGAGCAUGUGGGUUUAACUUCGAAGCAACGCGAAGAACCCUUACCAGGUCUUGACAUCCCGCUGACCGCCCAGGAGACUGGGGCUUUCCCUUUCGGGGACAGCGRUGACARGUGGUGCAUGGUUGUCGUCAGCUCGUGUCGUGAGAUGUUGGGUUAAGUCCCGCAACGAGCGCAACCCUUGAUCUUAGUUCCAGCAUUCAGUUGGCACUUUAAGGUGACUGCCGGUGACAACCGGAGGAAGUGGGGAUGACUCAAAUCACAAGCCCCUUAUGACCUGGGCUACACCCGUCUACAAUGGGCGGUACAAAGGGCUACCAACCCGCGAGGGGGAGCCAAUCCCAGAAAACCCGUU
This 1162-nucleotide ribosomal RNA is filed under the name Planococcus halotolerans. Its description in RNAcentral is "bacterial SSU rRNA". Lineage: Bacteria; Bacillati; Bacillota; Bacilli; Caryophanales; Caryophanaceae. The record is from RNAcentral.